Long non-coding RNA from Dermacentor silvarum, 1710 nucleotides. RefSeq lists it as uncharacterized. The transcript has 4 exons. The record is from RefSeq and is a predicted model, not a curated record. NCBI's taxonomy places the organism in Eukaryota, Metazoa, Arthropoda, Arachnida, Ixodida, Ixodidae.
UAUUGCUCUUAAAUUUUCCAAAAAUGCAGGCAUGACCAACUUAGUCGUCUGCAGUUUCACUUUUCUGUCACCGCCAAAGAACACUGCCAAUGGUGCAGUUUUUUGGUAGGCUUCACAUCUUUUAAAAGUACCUUAAAAGAACAUUACCAAGAAUUUCUCAUCCUAAGAACAAACCAGCUUAGCUAGCCUCCCCAUUUUGCAAACAGAAUAGCAGCUCACUUUGAAGAAAAUGGGCCCAUAUUGUCAUCAUGCUUACUGAGGGCAUGCAAAGCGUAGAAUGCCAGAUUGGGAGCAGUACUGGGGCACUCCUGACAAUCUUCUCAUGGUAGACAUUGUCUUAUAACACAUGCUAGGCAUGUAUAUAUGCUACAUGUAUUUAAUGUGAGAAAAACUGCAAAGCUGGCUGGCAGCAUAUCGCAGCACCUUCGCCAUCGGCGUCUGUCAAGCAAGGACUGGUUACGUAAAUAUUAUUGCGUCGACGCUACCGAAUAGGGCGGGCACAGAGGCGCCUGUUCGCGAACUGGCCGUUGCCAAGACGCCGACGUGAAUUGGAUAUUUCGAGUGUCUGCACAGCACGGAUUUCACGGCGUUCUGCCACCACAGCUGCACCACUCGUUUCAAGCAUAGAGCACAAACUGAGGCCUCAUGGCGUUCUGCCACCACAGCUGCGCCAUUCGUUUCAAGCACAGUACUUGAACCACACAUUAAGCGCUGAACCGUGGGCGGUCGACGCAGUCACAUUUUGAUGACUUGUAGAGAGGAGCACAUCCCUCGACGUCCGUUAUGCAAAGGCGGACGCGGUUCGCUGAACUGCACUGCCGAGGCGCUACGCCACUUCGACAUUUCAAUCGUCACCACCUCCGCAUUGUCAAGGAACACGGAUCACACAACGCAGAUUCUGUAUUGCCAGAGCUCACCGAGGCCAAAGCCGCACUGCCACACAAGCACUACUCACGGCUUUCCGCCAAGUAACACAGAACCUACAACGAAUACACAAGCAACGCAAGCACAAUCACAAACGCAAUGUUGAACAACGCGCGGUCGGCGCGGGCCAGAGAACGAUCACGCCGAGAACGAACACGCCAUCCUAUGCCGUCGUCACUUGGCGCCACCAUCGCGCCUUCUCAAAAGUCCCUAAAUGAUCGUGUCCCUAGGUGCCUAGGAUCUGGUCACGUGAGGGAUUUUUGUACGACAUUUAGACGCACGCCUUUUCGACUAGCAGCAACAACGUUUGAUCAACGUGGCCAACGCAGACGAGCGCGGUGCUUACAAUGAGCGCCUCAUUGACGCCGUUGAACAUGAACGUGCGUUAUGGGACCUGAGGGACAGGAACUACAAGUCCCGCCCCGUCUGUGACGCGGCUUGGCGGCACGUAGCAGCAGUGAUGGGAUGUUGCUGAAGUCAAAGCAAGGUGGAAAAACUUGCGAGACACGUUCAGGCGUGUCUUGAAGGAUCGGGCGCGAGCCAGCAAGAGCGGGGCGCCUGCUGACGACGCCCUGGACGAGUCUACGAAAUGGGUUUUCUUUUCUCGGCUCAUGUUCCUCAAGGAUACAAUGGAAGGGAGGCCGACAAGUGGGAAUUUGGAGCCUCAGUCUCAAAUGGAAGAAUCUCUAUGUGAUGUCGAAACAGCACAGGAGAUACUAGAGGGAAUUUACAUGGAGAAAGAGGUCUCCACAAGCGAGUCCACUGAGCCCCUAGAGGCACUACCAG